AAUGAACGCUGGCGGCAUGCCUAACACAUGCAAGUCGAACGGGAACAUGAGGACUCUUGCCUCUUGGCUGCCGAGUGGCGGGGGGGUGAGUCAUGUGUGGGAAAUAGCUUGAUGAAGGGGGUUAACUACUGGAAACGGUACUUAAUACCGCAGAUCUAUGGAAGACCAAAGAGCGGGAGUUUGAGGCGCUUUUCCAUCGGCUGAGCCCAGAUGGGAUUAACUAGUAGGUGGGGUAACGGCUCACUGAGGCGACGAGCCCUAGCUGGUCUGAGAGGGUGACCCGCCACACUGGAACUGAGACACGGUCGAGACUCCUACGGGAGGACGCAGUGGGGAAUCUUGCGCAAUGGGCGAAAGCGUGAUGCAGCAAUGCCGCGUGUAUGAUGAAGGCCUUCGGCUUGUAAAGUGCUGUAAGCGGGGAGGAAGGAAGGAAAGUUUAUACCUGUGCUUAUUGACGUUACCGGGAGAAGAAGCACCGGCUAACUCCGUG
RNAcentral lists this ribosomal RNA (490 nucleotides) under uncultured bacterium. Its description in RNAcentral is "partial 16S ribosomal RNA". It matches the Rfam family "Bacterial small subunit ribosomal RNA", at positions 29 to 507 of the family's 1533-position model. The record is from RNAcentral.